UGGGAUUCUCCAGGCAAGAACACUGGAGUGGGUUGCCAUUUCCUUCUCCAAUGCAUGAAAGUGAAAAGUGAAAGGGAAGUCGCCCAGUCGUGCCUGACUCUUAGCGACCCCAUGGACUGCAGCCCACCAGGCUCCUCCGUCCAUGGGACUUUCCAGGCAAGAGUACUGGCACCUGUUUUAUUUUUCUUCAACAACUUUUAUUAUAUACUGAUUUAUUUGUCAUCAGUCAUCCAUGGGAAUAUAAACACCUUGAGCAAAGAGCUUGUCUUUUUAAAAUUUUGUUUCUUUAUUUUUAGUUGAAGGAUUGGUUUCUGCCAUACAUCAACAUGGCUUAGCCAUAGUUAUACAUAUAUCCCCUCUCUCUUGAGCCUCCUUCCCACCUCACACCCAAUCCCACCCCUCUAGGUUGUCACAGAGUCUUCUUGACCACUGUAUCCCUGAGGGUCUGCAACAGAUCCUGGCCCAUAGCAGGCACUCAAGAAUCAGGACAAAUUGUGGCGCGACAACCCCCAGCCCGCCUGAGACAUCUGCCAUUCCCCCCUGGUUCCCUUGCCUUUCUCUGUCCUCUUUGCCUUCCUCCCUGCUUCUCUGUGUGUCUCUCUGUCUCCUCUGCUCCAGUCACUCUCCUCUCUGCCUGCCUCCCUCCUCUUCCUCUUUUUGGAAUCUCUUUCCUAUUCUCUCCCUUCCUCUUGCUUCCCUCGGUUUCUUCCGUGGGUCUUGGACCUAGCAGGUCCCUCUUAUCCAUUCAGCCCUUACCUUCUGCUUGGAUGUUUAUUGGGGAGGAUGUAGGGCCCAGGGAGAGAGCUCCAGAUAAGAAGGACUGAGCCAAUGACAUCUGUGGAUCUGUCAGAUGGGUACAGCUCUAACUUUGGACACGCAUUUGGUCAAGGGAUCCUUGAAAGUAAAGAUUCACUUGGAGUUGGUCGAGUCGGCAUUUUGGAAACAAUCAAGUAGAUCUGAAGCCUUGCUCCAAGUGGGGAGACGAGAGCUGGGGAGGGAGAAAACCAGACCAGAGCCCUGCCUUCCAGAACUUCCUGGUCUCAUUAGCCAAGGACGUAAGGGGCAUACAAGGUCUUCUAGGAAGUAGUAGGGGAACAAAGAUAGGCAGAAGGAGAGGUGCAGGCAGAGAGCUCUAGAAGGGAUCAGUCAUUGUUAACUUUGGGGCGAGCGGUCUGUGUGUGAACAGUAGCAGCCAGAUAGAAGAGGAGAUCCAGGCUCCAGCUGCAAAAGGGGAAAGCAGUUCAUCUGUGACGCAGGCCACCAGGGCCACCGGGGCCGUGCUUGGCUGGGGAGCCUCUCCUGUCAAACCCUGUCCUGGCUCCCUCCCUGUCUCCACCAGGACUGAGGGAAGAGCCUGAUUCAAAGCCUGCAGGUCCCCCAGAGCACAGAACUGGAGCUGAAAAUCUUGAUGAGUAAAACCUGCAGCAUCUCACCACUUGCCCUGCUGCUUGGGAAAUCAUUCAUAUUAGCAUGCGAGGUUCUGGGAGCUGAGUGGGAGGCAGGAGCCAACUGAGGCUCUUUUCCUGAGCCCUGGCAUUUAGAAGUGUGGUUUAGAGAAGAAAAAAAGGAGAGUGGCAGUAAUGAGUAAAGUAGUAAAUGUUUCCCCAAGAGGAUGAUUCUUGGAGCAAAAAAGGAUC
Bos taurus (domestic cattle) is the source of this 1637-nucleotide long non-coding RNA. Lineage: Eukaryota; Metazoa; Chordata; Mammalia; Artiodactyla; Bovidae. The record is from Ensembl.